This 253-nucleotide ribosomal RNA is filed under the name uncultured bacterium. RNAcentral describes it as "partial 16S ribosomal RNA". It matches the Rfam family "Bacterial small subunit ribosomal RNA", at positions 524 to 776 of the family's 1533-position model. The record is from RNAcentral.
UACGUAGGGUGCAAGCGUUAAUCGGAAUUACUGGGCGUAAAGGGCGCGUAGGCGGACAGUUUAGUCAGAGGUGAAAGCCCAGGGCUCAACCUUGGAAUUGCCUUUGAUACUGGCUGUCUUGAGUUCGGGAGAGGUGAGUGGAAUGCCGAGUGUAGAGGUGAAAUUCGUAGAUAUUCGGCGGAACACCAGUGGCGAAGGCGACUCACUGGCCCGAUACUGACGCUGAGGCGCGAAAGCGUGGGGAGCAAACAGG